UUUUUUUUUUAAGACGGAGUCUUGCUCCGUUGCCCAGGCUGGAUGCAGUGGCACGAUCUCGGCUCACUGCAACCUCCACCUCCUGGGUUCAAGCAAUUCUCCUGCCUCAGCCUCCCGAGUAGCUUGGAUUACAGGCGUGUGCCACCACGCCUGGCUAAUUUUUGUAUGUUUAGGGUUUUGCCAUCUUGGCCAGGCCAGUCUCGAACUCCUGACUUCAGGUGAUCCGCUCACCUCGGCCUCCCAAAGUGCUGAGAUUACAGGCGUGAGCCACCAUGCCUGGCCAAGAAACAUGGGUUCUAAUCCCAAUGCCCCCGCUUCCUAGCUAUGGGACCUUGAUUGAGUCCUGUACCGUGCCUCAGUUUCCCCACUUAUAAAAAGAGGUUACUAAAAAGGAUGCUUCACUCAAGGGUGUGAAGACCCAGUGAAUGAAGUGUUAAUAAGAGCUCCACGUAUAGCGAUGCUGCUGUUCAGCUGCACCAGGGUGGACUCCCUUGACUUGCUGGGAGUUACAAUGAGGAAGGAAGGACCGUUAAACCUGUAGGUCUUUCCAGAGAAAGUGCGUUUCCUAAAACCAAAUCCUGCCCUUGCUCCAAAACUGUCAGUGGUGGUUUCCCAUGACCACGCCACAGUCCCAGGGUCUCCCCUGGCCUUCAAGGCUGGCACAGUCUGACCCUGCCAACGUCCCUAGUGCCACCAUCUGUCAGCCCCUCCUUGCUCCUGCUCCUGGUCUGCACAUGCUGUUCUCUUUGCCAAGAAUGCCAUUUCCCCAGCCCCCUGGUCCCGAUGGGGAACACCUCCUCAUCCUUCAAAGCCAAGCUGGAAGGGAACAUCUUUGGAGAUGCCGCUUGACCUCCCAGGCAGAAGGGGUCAUUCUCCCUGGAGAUGUGGUCACGUCAUUAACCACACUGGGUUAGAAUCAUCAGAAGCUGUUCCUGCCUCUUCCGUCAAGCAAGGGGCUCUGGAGGCCAGAAAAUGCCUAUGAAUCAUGCCCACACCCCCAGAGCCCAGCAUGGGGCGGGCUCAGGUUAGGUCAAUCGUGUUUGAAGACUGAAUAAAUGAAUGUCUUCAUUUGCUACCCUCAG
RNAcentral lists this long non-coding RNA (1082 nucleotides) under Homo sapiens (human). RNAcentral's name for it is "HSALNT0238241". The record is from RNAcentral. Lineage: Eukaryota; Metazoa; Chordata; Mammalia; Primates; Hominidae.